GAUGAAGAACGCAGCGAAAUGCGAUAAGUAAUGUGAAUUGCAGAAUUCAGUGAAUCAUCGAAUCUUUGAACGCACCUUGCGCCUUUUGGUAUUCCGAAAGGCACACCUGUUUGAGCGUCAUGAAUACCUCAAUCUCCAUCUUUUCUUCGGAUUGAUGGGUGACUUGGAUGUUGAGCCCUGCUGGUAUGCUAUAUCAGCUGGCUUUAAACUUAUUAGCCGGCUCUGUACUGGAUCGGUUUGACUCGACGUGAUAAUAUUAUCGUUGAGGAUGCAUGUCUCAUGCAGCCGGAAAGUAUCAAAGCAGCUUCUAGCUUGCCUUUAGUGCACUUUUACAUUUUAGACCACAGAUCAGGUGGGACUACCCGCUGAACUUAAGCAUAUCAAUAAGCGGAGGA
RNAcentral lists this unclassified non-coding RNA (395 nucleotides) under soil metagenome. Its description in RNAcentral is "partial contains 5.8S ribosomal RNA, internal transcribed spacer 2, and large subunit ribosomal RNA". The stretch from base 1 to 120 matches the Rfam family "5.8S ribosomal RNA", at positions 35 to 154 of the family's 154-position model. The record is from RNAcentral.